AGUGAACGCUGGCGGUAGGCCUAACACAUGCAAGUCGAACGGCAGCACAGUAAGAGCUUGCUCUUACGGGUGGCGAGUGGCGGAAGGGUGAGGAAUACAUCGGAAUCUACUUUUUCGUGGGGGAUAAAGUAGGGAAACUUACGCUAAUACCGCAUACGACCUACGGGUGAAAGCAGGGGAUCUUAGGACCUUGCGCGAUUGAAUGAGCCGAUGUCGGAUUAGCUAGUUGGCGGGGUAAAGGCCCACCAAGGCGACGAUCCGUAGCUGGUCUGAGAGGAUGAUCAGCCACACUGGAACUGAGACACGGUCCAGACUCCUACGGGAGGCAGCAGUGGGGAAUAUUGGACAAUGGGCGCAAGCCUGAUCCAGCCAUACCGCGUGGGUGAAGAAGGCCUUCGGGUUGUAAAGCCCUUUUGUUGGGAAAGAAAAGCAGCAGGUUAAUACCCCGCUGUUCUGACGGUACCCAAAGAAUAAGCACCGGCUAACUUCGUG
Molecule: ribosomal RNA, 492 nt
Filed under: uncultured bacterium
Lineage: Bacteria
Description: partial 16S ribosomal RNA
Rfam family: Bacterial small subunit ribosomal RNA
Source: RNAcentral